Molecule: long non-coding RNA, 210 nt
Filed under: Homo sapiens (human)
Lineage: Eukaryota; Metazoa; Chordata; Mammalia; Primates; Hominidae
Description: non-protein coding LINC01775:9
Source: RNAcentral
CUGGGACUUGGAGUCCAGUCCCUGGGGGUCCCGCGGGGAUGGCUCUGGGCACCCGAAGCCCCUCCCCAGCGCCGAGACAGGAGGGCUGGGGUAGAUUCGAGACCCCGGUUUGCAGAGCGCAAGACUGAGGCCCAGGGCCGCGCAGUCAGGCAGGAAACGGCGCUCCUGGCGGAUGGAACAGCACGGGCAAAGGCUGGGGUCUCGCUCCGU